UACGUAGGGUGCAAGCGUUGUCCGGAAUUAUUGGGCGUAAAGAGCUCGUAGGCGGUCUGUCGCGUCGGAUGUGAAAACCCAGGGCUCAACCCUGGGCCUGCAUUCGAUACGGGCAGACUAGAGUUCGGUAGGGGAGACUGGAAUUCCUGGUGUAGCGGUGAAAAUGCGCAGAUAUCAGGAGGAACACCGAUUGCGAAGGCAGCUCGCUGGGACGGUACUGACGCUGAGGCGCGAAAGCGUGGGGAGCGAACAGG
Molecule: ribosomal RNA, 254 nt
Filed under: uncultured bacterium
Lineage: Bacteria
Description: partial 16S ribosomal RNA
Rfam family: Bacterial small subunit ribosomal RNA
Source: RNAcentral